RNAcentral lists this ribosomal RNA (253 nucleotides) under uncultured bacterium. RNAcentral's name for it is "partial 16S ribosomal RNA". It matches the Rfam family "Bacterial small subunit ribosomal RNA", at positions 524 to 776 of the family's 1533-position model. The record is from RNAcentral.
UACGGGGGGGGCAAGCGUUGUUCGGAAUUACUGGGCGUAAAGGGCGCGUAGGCGGCCUACUAAGUCAGACGUGAAAUCCCCAGGCUUAACUUGGGAACUGCGUCUGAUACUGGGAGGCUUGAGUGCGGGAGAGGGAUGUGGAAUUCCAGGUGUAGCGGUGAAAUGCAUAGAUAUCUGGAGGAACACCGGUGGCGAAGGCGGCAUCCUGGACCGACACUGACGCUGAGGCGCGAAAGCUAGGGGAGCAAACGGG